GUGUGCUCUUCCGAUGGUUUGGGGGAAGGGUCUCCAGGGUGGUCCAGGGCAGAAGAAGGGUCUUUGAGUCAAGUUCGAACAGUAGUUCCAGUUCGGGUGGGUUUCUGCCC
This is a non-coding RNA of Notechis scutatus (mainland tiger snake), 110 nucleotides long. Lineage: Eukaryota; Metazoa; Chordata; Lepidosauria; Squamata; Elapidae. The record is from RefSeq and is a predicted model, not a curated record.